CCAUAUACCAAGCCCUAUCUUCACAAGACAGGCUAUAAUCUUAGGCUAGCUAAGUGACUUACCAGUGGGUCAUCCAUAUCAUAUGUGGACUUUGCUCUCUGCACCUCUAUGUAUUUCUACUUGAGAUAGUCGCAUGUUCUGCUGCUCUAUGUGCUUGGAUAUCUGGUGAGACCUAGACUCCUUAGCAAGGACUAUGGUGCUAUUAUCUUUGCAGUAUAAUAUCAUGUCAUUUGAUGGCACAACAUCCAAUUUUGCAAC
This 258-nucleotide long non-coding RNA is filed under the name Elaeis guineensis (African oil palm). RNAcentral describes it as "long non-coding RNA (EGUI_LNC051450)". Lineage: Eukaryota; Viridiplantae; Streptophyta; Magnoliopsida; Arecales; Arecaceae. The record is from RNAcentral.